Molecule: long non-coding RNA, 1304 nt
Organism: Poeciliopsis prolifica (blackstripe livebearer)
Lineage: Eukaryota; Metazoa; Chordata; Actinopteri; Cyprinodontiformes; Poeciliidae
Exons: 3
Source: RefSeq, a predicted model, not a curated record
GGUAACACCUGUGAAGUUGGCGGGCAAUGUCGACACAGCAGAGCUGUUUAAAAGCUAAUUGGGUUUCUCAAGGCACCCAUAUGCAGACUGAGUUGAUGAGCGUGAUCUUUUAUUCAUCAUUAAGCUUUUUAUUCUUGAGCCCGACUGUGAUACGGAAACUAAGACAGCAUGAAGUCCAGGAUUGUGUGUUUUCUGAUGAUUAUUCUUUGCAUCAGUGCCCAAGCAACCAGGUGCCAUGGUAAACACAGUUCUAGCAGUGAGUCGGACAGUGUAGAGACCUCAAUAAACCUGCCUUCACUUAUCUGCACUCUGUUUCCGACUCUGUGUUCCCAAAAGACCACGACAACAACUACCGCCACAACAACAACAACAACAAAGGCAACCACGGUUCCAGUCACCCCCAGAGGAGACAAUCCAUAAGCUACAGCCUCUAAAAUGAAUCCAACAUGAGGAAUAUUUAGCAAGAUGGGAAAAAUGUAUUUACUUUGAUUUGCAAUAAGAUCAAUAAAAUGGUGCUUUGUUUUGGUGAGGCCAUUGGCAAAACCAGAAUCGAAAAGCAUCAUAGGGAGACUGGUCCCACCAAAGAGCAGACUCUGACAACUCACCAGUGUAACAUCCACUCAGUAAACUCACACAGACAAGCCUGAAUGCUGACUGCUUAAGAAAAGGGACGAGCGUAAGCUGCUAAAAGCCAGACUCUGCCAAGUCUGUCGUAUUGCGCUCCUGAAUCACCCUUUUUGAUUCAUUCUUCUGCACUGCAGAUUCCAAAGACUUUGACUGAAAUAUUUUAUGUUUUUUUCUAAUCAAUUACUUUAUGUUUGAUGUAAUUUGAUGUGCCUCAACACUGUAUUAUCAAAAAUCUUGAUUUUGAAUGUACUUUUUUGCUAUACUUUUUUAAAAAUCUUCAUUAUUUUUCUGAACUCAUAUAUAUUUUUUUCUAAUUAUGACUGUACUGACUGAUCUUUUGUGUGCUGCAGGUGAAGUGUUAUGGUUCUAAUACAAUCAAAUAAAAUGAACAAGAGAUUUGCAAAGAUCAAAUUUAGUUACAGUUUUAAUAUGAGAAUGUGAACAUAUCUUGUGAAAGCUUUCUUAUAUUUCUCAAUGAUCUCACUGAUUACAACAAGUUUAAGAAGCUCCAUGUUCUCCGCUAUGGGAGCCACAUCAACAGCAAAUGGUGUUUUCCACAGAUUUACAGAAACACAAGCAGUUCCUGAUUAUACACACUGAGUCAAUCACAGUUUCCCCUUUCCAAUCGUAGCUAAAACAAAAACACACUAGAAGAUCAUAAGAGGAGCCUGAGAAGA